GGAGUAGUUCAGUUGGUUAGAGCGUCAGAUUGUGGUUCUGAAUGUCGUGGGUUCGAGUCCCACCUUC
Molecule: transfer RNA, 67 nt
Filed under: uncultured Prevotella sp.
Lineage: Bacteria; Pseudomonadati; Bacteroidota; Bacteroidia; Bacteroidales; Prevotellaceae
Rfam family: tRNA
About the family: Transfer RNA (tRNA) molecules are approximately 80 nucleotides in length. Their secondary structure includes four short double-helical elements and three loops (D, anti-codon, and T loops). Further hydrogen bonds mediate the characteristic L-shaped molecular structure. tRNAs have two regions of fundamental functional importance: the anti-codon, which is responsible for specific mRNA codon recognition, and the 3' end, to which the tRNAs corresponding amino acid is attached (by aminoacyl-tRNA synthetases). tRNAs cope with the degeneracy of the genetic code in two manners: having more than one tRNA (with a specific anti-codon) for a particular amino acid; and 'wobble' base-pairing, i.e. permitting non-standard base-pairing at the 3rd anti-codon position.
Source: RNAcentral